CAUAGUUCAGUUGGUUAGAGCGUCAGAUUGUGGUUCUGAAUGUCGUGGGUUCGAAUCCCACUGGU
Molecule: transfer RNA, 65 nt
Filed under: uncultured Alloprevotella sp.
Lineage: Bacteria; Pseudomonadati; Bacteroidota; Bacteroidia; Bacteroidales; Prevotellaceae
Rfam family: tRNA
About the family: Transfer RNA (tRNA) molecules are approximately 80 nucleotides in length.
Source: RNAcentral